AGUGAACGCUGGCGGUAGGCCUAACACAUGCAAGUCGAACGGCAGCACAGAGGAGCUUGCUCCUUGGGUGGCGAGUGGCGGACGGGUGAGGAAUACAUCGGAAUCUACUCUGUCGUGGGGGACAACGUAGGGAAACUUACGCUAAUACCGCAUACGACCUACGGGUGAAAGCAGGGGAUCUUCGGACCUUGCGCGAUUGAAUGAGCCGAUGUCGGAUUAGCUAGUUGGCGGGGUAAAGGCCCACCAAGGCGACGAUCCGUAGCUGGUCUGAGAGGAUGAACGGCCACACUGGAACUGAGACACGGUCCAGACUCCUACGGGAGGCAGCAGUGGGGAAUAUUGGACAAUGGGCGCAAGCCUGAUCCAGCCAUACCGCGUGGGUGAAGAAGGCCUUCGGGUUGUAAAGCCCUUUUGUUGGGAAAGAAAUCCAUCUGGUUAAUACCCGGGUGGGAUGACGGUACCCAAAGAAUAAGCACCGGCUAACUUCGUGCCAGCCGCCGCCGUAA
RNAcentral lists this ribosomal RNA (506 nucleotides) under uncultured bacterium. Its description in RNAcentral is "partial 16S ribosomal RNA". It matches the Rfam family "Bacterial small subunit ribosomal RNA", at positions 29 to 523 of the family's 1533-position model. The record is from RNAcentral.